GCACCUACGGGAGGCAGCAGUGGGGAAUAUUGCACAAUGGGGGAAACCCUGAUGCAGCGACGCCGCGUGAGUGAAGAAGUAUUUCGGUAUGUAAAGCUCUAUCAGCAGGGAAGAAAGUGACGGUACCUGAAAAAGAAGCUCCGGCUAAAUACGUGCCAGCAGCCGCGGUAAUACGUAUGGAGCAAGCGUUAUCCGGAUUUACUGGGUGUAAAGGGGGAGUAGGUGGCAGAGCAAGUCCGAAGUGAAAACCCAAAGCUCAACUAUGGGAAUGCUUUAGAAACUGCUCAGCUAGAGUGCAGGAGAGG
RNAcentral lists this ribosomal RNA (305 nucleotides) under uncultured bacterium. Its description in RNAcentral is "bacterial SSU rRNA". It matches the Rfam family "Bacterial small subunit ribosomal RNA", at positions 335 to 657 of the family's 1533-position model. The record is from RNAcentral.